GAAGGGGAAACAACAAUGUUUGAUGAUGAAAAUCAUCAUAACUUGAAAUGAGGUGUCUGUUAAAGACAAUAUCUUUCAAUAAAAGCUUCAAUUCGUUCCUAAUCAAAGGGAUCAUUAUGAUGCACAUAAAAGUGCUGAUCAACCAUAAGCGUUCAUAACCCGCUAUGCGGCACCACAUGAUUGGAAUGAGGUGUUUGUUAAAGAUCAUCAACCGCUUUAUAAGUUGUGAAACAUAUAAAGAAAUAAGGGGAUGGUCACCUUGAACGAAAAAAUCCUAAUAGACACUAAUCAAUUGUAAAUGAGGUGUUUAUCGAAGGCUUACUAAAGCUGGCUAGAUAGUGAACGUAUAAAAUGAAGCGUUUCUCCUUCGCGGCAGG
This 377-nucleotide small RNA is filed under the name Bacillus methanolicus MGA3. RNAcentral describes it as "non-coding RNA with unknown function". The record is from RNAcentral. Lineage: Bacteria; Bacillati; Bacillota; Bacilli; Caryophanales; Bacillaceae.